GAUGAACGCUGGCGGCGUGCCUAAUACAUGCAAGUCGAGCGAACAGACGAGGAGCUUGCUCCUCUGACGUUAGCGGCGGACGGGUGAGUAACACGUGGAUAACCUACCUAUAAGACUGGGAUAACUUCGGGAAACCGGAGCUAAUACCGGAUAAUAUAUUGAACCGCAUGGUUCAAUAGUGAAAGACGGUUUUGCUGUCACUUAUAGAUGGAUCCGCGCCGCAUUAGCUAGUUGGGAAGGUAACGGCUUACCAAGGCAACGACGCGUAGCCGACCUGAGAGGGUGAUCGGCCACACUGGAACUGAGACACGGUCCAGACUCCUACGGGAGGCAGCAGUAGGGAAUCUUCCGCAAUGGGCGAAAGCCUGACGGAGCAACGCCGCGUGAGUGAUGAAGGUCUUCGGAUCGUAAAACUCUGUUAUUAGGGAAGAACAAAUGUGUAAGUAACUAUGCACGUCUUGACGGUACCUAAUCAGAAAGCCACGGCUAACUACGUG
This 497-nucleotide ribosomal RNA is filed under the name uncultured bacterium. RNAcentral's name for it is "partial 16S ribosomal RNA". It matches the Rfam family "Bacterial small subunit ribosomal RNA", at positions 28 to 507 of the family's 1533-position model. The record is from RNAcentral.